This 353-nucleotide ribosomal RNA is filed under the name uncultured Saprospiraceae bacterium. Its description in RNAcentral is "bacterial SSU rRNA". It matches the Rfam family "Bacterial small subunit ribosomal RNA", at positions 1029 to 1381 of the family's 1533-position model. Lineage: Bacteria; Pseudomonadati; Bacteroidota; Saprospiria; Saprospirales; Saprospiraceae. The record is from RNAcentral.
CAUGCACAGGUGUUGCACGGCCGUCGUCAGCUCGUGCCGUGAGGUGUUGGUUAAGUCCCGCAACGAGCGCAACCCCUGUUCUUAGUUGCCAGCGAGUAAUGUCGGGGACUCUAGGAAGACUGCCGGCGCAAGCCGCGAGGAAGUGGGGACGACGUCAAGUCAUCAUGGCCUUUAUGCCCAGGGCUAUACACGUGCUACAAUGGCGGGUACAACGGGUCGCAAAGCCGCGAGGUGGAGCCAAUCCAGGAAAGCCCGUCCCAGUUCGGAUUGGAGUCUGCAACCCGACUCCAUGAAGUUGGAAUCGCUAGUAAUCGCGCAUCAGCCAUGGCGCGGUGAAUACGUUCCCGGACCUC